This 279-nucleotide ribosomal RNA is filed under the name uncultured bacterium. RNAcentral's name for it is "partial 16S ribosomal RNA". It matches the Rfam family "Bacterial small subunit ribosomal RNA", at positions 506 to 784 of the family's 1533-position model. The record is from RNAcentral.
UGCCAGCCGCCGCGGUAACACGGGGGGCGCAAGCGUUAUUCGGAAUUAUUGGGCGUAAAGGGCGCACAGGCGGUCUUGUCCGUCAGGUGUGAAAGCUCGGGGCUCAACCCCGGAAUUGCCUUCAAUACUGCUAGUCUUGAGUUCGAGAGAGGGUGGUGGAAUUCCCAGUGUAGAGGUGAAAUUCGUAGAUAUUGGGAAGAACACCAGUGGCGAAGGCGGCCACCUGGCUCGAUACUGACGCUGAGGUGCGAAAGCGUGGGGAGCAAACAGGAUUAGAUA